AGCUUGUGUCUUCCACCGCAGGCGGCUCCUCUCCCUGUUCGGGCGGCUCCUCUCCCUGUUCGGGCGGCUCCUCUCCCUGUUCGGGCGGCUCCUCUCCCUGUUCGGGCGGCUCCUCUCCCUGUUCGGGCGGCGCUCGGCGGUCGUCUACUCGCUGCCACCGAUUCCUUUUUCGUUCCUGUUAGUUUUGUCUUGAUUGUUUUGACCUGUUACGUAUUUGUUGUUAAUUUUUGGCCUAUUAGCUUCCCGCCUGCUUUUGUGCUUAUUCUCCCUGUCAGUGGUGAGAUUAUUGUGUUUAUUCUCCCUGUCAGUGGUGAGAUUAUUGUGUUUAUUCUCCCAGUCAGUGGUGAGAUUAUUGUGUUUAUUCUCCCAGUCAGUGGUGAGAUUAUUGUGCUUAUUCUCCCUGUCAGUGGUGAGAUUAUUGUGUUUAUUCUCCCUGUCAGUGGUGAGAUUAUUGUGUUUAUUCUCCCAGUCAGUGGUGAGAUUAUUGUGCUUAUUCUCCCUGUCAGUGUUGAGAUUAUUGUGCUUAUUCUCCCUGUCAGUGGUGAGAUUAUUGUGUUUAUUCUCCCUGUCAGUGGCGAGAUUAUUGUGCUUAUUCUCCCUGUCAGUGGUGAGAUUAUUGUGUUUAUUCUCCCUGUCAGUGGAGAGAUUAUUGUGUUUAUUCUCCCUGUCAGUGGUGAGAUUAUUGUGUUUAUUCUCCCUGUCAGUGGUGAGAUUAUUGUGUUUAUUCUCCCUGUCAGUGGAGAGAUUAUUGUGUUUAUUCUCCCUGUCAGUGGUGAGAUUAUUGUGUUUAUUCUCCCUGUCAGUGGAGAGAUUAUUGUGUUUAUUCUCCCUGUCAGUGGAGAGAUUAUUGUGUUUAUUCUCCCUGUCAGUGGAGAGAUGAUUGUGUUUAUUCUCCCUGUCAGUGGAGAGAUUAUUGUGCUUAUUCUCCCUGUCAGUGGUGAGAUUAUUGUGUUUAUUCUCCCUGUCAGUGGAGAGAUGAUUGUGUUUAUUCUCCCUGUCAGUGGAGAGAUUAUUGUGCUUAUUCUCCCUGUCAGUGGUGAGAUUAUUGUGUUUAUUCUCCCUGUCAGUGGUGAGAUUAUUGUGUUUAUUCUCCCUGUCAGUGGAGAGAUUAUUGUGUUUAUUCUCCCUGUCAGUGGUGAGAUUAUUGUGUUUACGUUUUUACUGUCUGUUAUUUUCCCUAGUUUUCGGGACAUACCUGUUUAUUGGUAUUUUUGCCUGUUUGUUGGCUAG
This 1230-nucleotide long non-coding RNA is filed under the name Oncorhynchus kisutch (coho salmon). RNAcentral describes it as "lncRNA (ENSOKIG00005003716.1)". Lineage: Eukaryota; Metazoa; Chordata; Actinopteri; Salmoniformes; Salmonidae. The record is from RNAcentral.